Molecule: ribosomal RNA, 465 nt
Filed under: uncultured bacterium
Lineage: Bacteria
Description: bacterial SSU rRNA
Rfam family: Bacterial small subunit ribosomal RNA
Source: RNAcentral
GACGACGCUGGCGGCACGCUUAACACAUGCAAGUCGAACGGAGAUAAUUUGAGUUUACUUAGAUUAUCUUAGUGGCGGACGGGUGAGUAACACGUGAGCAACCUACCUUUGAGAGAGGGAUAGCUUCUGGAAACGGAUGGUAAUACCUCAUAACGUAGUUUUACCGCAUGAUAGGACUACCAAAGAUUUAUCACUCAAAGAUGGGCUCGCGUCUGAUUAGCUAGAUGGUGAGGUAACGGCUCACCAUGGCGACGAUCAGUAGCCGGACUGAGAGGUUGAACGGCCACAUUGGGACUGAGACACGGCCCAGACUCCUACGGGAGGCAGCAGUGGGGAAUAUUGCACAAUGGGGGAAACCCUGAUGCAGCGAUGCCGCGUGGAGGAAGAAGGUUUUCGGAUUGUAAACUCCUGUCUUAAAGGACGAUAAUGACGGUACUUUAGGAGGAAGCUCCGGCUAACUACGUG